RNAcentral lists this ribosomal RNA (163 nucleotides) under uncultured bacterium. RNAcentral describes it as "partial 16S rRNA". It matches the Rfam family "Bacterial small subunit ribosomal RNA", at positions 355 to 510 of the family's 1533-position model. The record is from RNAcentral.
UAGGGAAUCUUCCACAAUGGACGAAAGUCUGAUGGAGCAACGCCGCGUGAGUGAAGAAGGUUUUCGGACCGUAAAGCUCUGUUGUUGGUGAAGAAGGAUAGAGGCAGUAACUGGUCUUUAUUUGACGGUAAUCAACCAGAAAGUCACGGCUAACUACGUGCCG